UACGUACCGUCCAAACGUUAUUCGGAAUCACUGGGCUUAAAGAGUUCGUAGGCGGUCCAGAAAGUUGGGUGUGAAAUCCCUCGGCUCAACCGAGGAACAGCGCUCAAAACUACUGGGCUAGAGGGAGAUAGAGGUGAGCGGAACUGAUGGUGGAGCGGUGAAAUGCGUUGAUAUCAUCAGGAACACCGGAGGCGAAGGCGGCUCACUGGGUCUCUCCUGACGCUGAGGAACGAAAGCUAGGGUAGCGAACGGG
RNAcentral lists this ribosomal RNA (253 nucleotides) under uncultured bacterium. RNAcentral describes it as "partial 16S ribosomal RNA". It matches the Rfam family "Bacterial small subunit ribosomal RNA", at positions 524 to 776 of the family's 1533-position model. The record is from RNAcentral.